This 463-nucleotide unclassified non-coding RNA is filed under the name uncultured Archaeospora. Its description in RNAcentral is "SSU rRNA". It matches the Rfam family "Eukaryotic small subunit ribosomal RNA", at positions 569 to 1040 of the family's 1831-position model. The record is from RNAcentral. Lineage: Eukaryota; Fungi; Glomeromycota; Glomeromycetes; Archaeosporales; Archaeosporaceae.
AGCAGCCGCGGUAAUUCCAGCUCCAAUAGCGUAUAUUAAAGUUGCUGCAGUUAAAAGCUCGUAGUUGAAUUUCGGGACUAAUAUGUCGGUCGUGCCUCGGUACGUACUGGCUUAUUGGUUUCUCCUUUCUGAAGAACCAUGAUGUCAUUUAUUUGGUGUCGUGGGGAAUCAGGACUGUUACUUUGAAAAAAUUAGAGUGUUUAAAGCAGGCUCACGCUUGAAUACAUUAGCAUGGAAUAAUGAAAUAGGACGUUUGAUUCUAUUUUGUUGGUUUCUAGGAUCGACGUAAUGAUUAAUAGGGAUAGUUGGGGGCAUUAGUAUUCAAUUGUCAGAGGUGAAAUUCUUGGAUUUAUUGAAGACUAACUACUGCGAAAGCAUUUGCCAAGGAUGUUUUCAUUAAUCAAGAACGAAAGUUAGGGAUCGAAGACGAUCAGAUACCGUCGUAGUCUUAACCAUAAACUAU